CUCGGAUACAAAUGGAAACCAAGCCAGAAAAGCAACCGGAGUGAACAGAAGCAAUCCCAUCACAAUCUCAUAGCCACGAGCUAGAGUUCGAACUGAUCCCCAGAAUCCAGCUCUCCGAACAACAGGUUUCAAUGCUUGAGCAAUCAGAAGCAUGCCCCAGCCAGUUGGCAAGAAAGCGAGAACACAUAUAACCAUGUCUUCAGGAGUCAUCUUGAGCAGUGUCAUCAGAAUCACCAGGGUUGCGACAAAAUGGGAACUGUCAUAAGAGACCGAAUUCAAGAACAGAUGAGGACCAAGAGUAUAAAAGGGCUUCUAUAUGACAAAGAAGAGGAUGAUGAUGAAUAUGACUACUAUUACGGGAGCAGUGACGAUGAUGAAGAAUACUACGAUGGUGAAGAUGAAGAAUAGGGUUGUUCACUUUCUCAUGUUAUGUGGUGAUGUAAAAUGUAGUUUAUGGAUCAAGUUGGAUGAAGAUGUAUUAUGUCCUAACGUUUGGAUGCGCGUGUGAUAUGCGUGUUUUAUUUUGGUAGAAUGUAGUGGCAAUUAGUUGUGUUGUAAACCGUGAUCAAGCAUAGUCUUGUACCAUAACGCUGUCAAUCAGAGUGAUUUGUCUAAAUAUGUUCUUGAAAAUUCUAUUUUAUUUUCCUCUUUUGGGAAUUGAUACAGCUAGGACCGAGUAGAUGUAUUUAUACACGGUACAUGUAUUAAUGAAUCGCGAUGCACUAAAAUUUUU
This 733-nucleotide unclassified non-coding RNA is filed under the name Hevea brasiliensis (rubber tree). The record is from RNAcentral. Lineage: Eukaryota; Viridiplantae; Streptophyta; Magnoliopsida; Malpighiales; Euphorbiaceae.